Non-coding RNA from Phyllostomus discolor (pale spear-nosed bat), 604 nucleotides. The record is from the annotation of a RefSeq genome assembly. NCBI's taxonomy places the organism in Eukaryota, Metazoa, Chordata, Mammalia, Chiroptera, Phyllostomidae.
UCAUCUUGGCAGACUUUGUAUUUUUAUCCAGCAAGGAACUUGUCCAACCUACCCUCCCCCACAUCUUUUACUUCCAAGGGUUUGCUUUCUGCAGCCACUUUCCUGCCUGCACAGAGGGGAUUUUCCAGAAAAGAGCCCACAGCAUUUCUACUGCUCAGCCAUGCUCCUGUUGCUAAUUUCAGUACUGGGGAUAAUAUUUGUCCUGAGAGAUGCCAGAGCCCAGUCAGUGACUCAGCCUGACAGCCAUGUCAGUGUCUCUGAAGAAGCCUCAUUGGAGCUGAGGUGCAAGUAUUCUUAUAGUGGAGUUCCUUAUCUCUACUGGUAUGUCCAAUACCCUGGCCAAGGCCUCCAGCUUCUCAUCAAGCACUUUUCAGGAGAUAGCUGGGCUCAAGGCAUCAAAGACUUUGGGGCUGAAUUAAAGAAGAAUGAAUCUUCCUUCAACCUGAAGAAAUCCUCAACCCUUUGGAGGGACUCAGCUGUGUACUUCUGUGCGCUGAGUGACACAGUGUCUGGGACUGCAGGGGGAGCUGAACAGAAACCACUCAGCAUGUGGAGUUUUCUCAGACUUAAGAUGUGUUCUUGUGCGGGGAGCAUUUGGCCAUAA